CCCCUUUUUGCUGCCUUUCCAGGGAGAGCAGCAAGAGAAAGAAAGAGAGAGGCAAGCGAAAUUCCUGAAUGGAUAGACAGAUGCUACGUCAUCCGGAGCUGCGUCCUCCACUCCACAAGAGGCUAGGAGCCGGGAGAAAGAGGCAGUCCAGCGGCAGGGGCCACCAGCGCAGGCUCUCCUCCUCACAGAAGCCGGGAGCUGGUCAUCCAAGAAGAAGCAGCCUCGUUUGUUUCGGGUGUCAUCGUAGGUGUCCACCUUUGGCUUUGGGGGAACAGCCAGGUCUUGCUUACUCCUGCCUUGGGAAGUCCUUCCCAAUGUCUAACCAAGAUCUGUACCGCUGAAGUACCAGUUCUUUGACCCUCGGCUUGACAUGGCUAAUUUGAGAGGCACAGGGAGGAACUGACCUUGAUUUGGCACCCGCUUGCUUGUUCCUGAAAACUGAGUGAUACUGUCGCCACUAUACAAAGACAAUCAGAGCCCCAAGUCACAGGACUGACCAAAAAGAAGAACCUACUUCACCCACUUGUCCUGGGUUCCCUCUGAGACGCUGUCUUGAUUGACUGAAAGAUGAGGCUAAACUCUAGCAAGUUGAGUGGCUCCUCCCAGAAUCCUUUAAGCAGGAUAGAAGUGGGGAGGCCCCAGCCUCCAGCCUGGGCAGCCCUUUAGACUGGAGCCGCCUGGCAAAGACUUUAUUUCAUCAUUGCUCCAGUGUCUGCAAGCUGUCCAUCCUGGCCAGCCCUGGUUUCCCCUGUGUCGUCUGAACUGAGAAUCUUCUGAGAUGGAAGUCCCAUCUCAUGCCUAAUAAA
Molecule: long non-coding RNA, 806 nt
Filed under: Sus scrofa (pig)
Lineage: Eukaryota; Metazoa; Chordata; Mammalia; Artiodactyla; Suidae
Description: lncRNA (ENSSSCG00040051343.1, ENSSSCG00065030534.1)
Source: RNAcentral